This 497-nucleotide ribosomal RNA is filed under the name uncultured bacterium. RNAcentral describes it as "partial 16S ribosomal RNA". It matches the Rfam family "Bacterial small subunit ribosomal RNA", at positions 28 to 507 of the family's 1533-position model. The record is from RNAcentral.
GAUGAACGCUGGCGGCGUGCCUAAUACAUGCAAGUCGAGCGAACAGACGAGGAGCUUGCUCCUCUGACGUUAGCGGCGGACGGGUGAGUAACACGUGGAUAACCUACCUAUAAGACUGGGAUAACUUCGGGAAACCGGAGCUAAUACCGGAUAAUAUAUUGAACCGCAUGGUUCAAUAGUGAAAGACGGUUUUGCUGUCACUUAUAGAUGGAUCCGCGCCGCAUUAGCUAGUUGGUAAGGUAACGGCUUACCAAGGCAACGAUGCGUAGCCGACCUGAGAGGGUGAUAGGCCACACUGGAACUGAGACACGGACCAGACUCCUACGGGAGGCAGCAGUAGGGAAUCUUCCGCAAUGGGCGAAAGCCUGACGGAGCAACGCCGCGUGAGUGAUGAAGGUCUUCGGAUCGUAAAACUCUGUUAUUAGGGAAGAACAAAUGUGUAAGUAACUAUGCACGUCUUGACGGUACCGAAUCAGAAAGCCACGGCUAACUACGUG